GACGAACGCUGGCGGCGUGCUUAACACAUGCAAGUCGAACGAAGAGCGAUGGAAGCUUGCUUCUAUCAAUCUUAGUGGCGAACGGGUGAGUAACGCGUAAUCAACCUGCCCUUCAGAGGGGGACAACAGUUGGAAACGACUGCUAAUACCGCAUACGAUCUAAUCUCGGCAUCGAGGAUAGAUGAAAGGUGGCCUCUACAUGUAAGCUAUCACUGAAGGAGGGGAUUGCGUCUGAUUAGCUAGUUGGAGGGGUAACGGCCCACCAAGGCGAUGAUCAGUAGCCGGUCUGAGAGGAUGAACGGCCACAUUCGGACUGAGACACGGCCCAGACUCCUACGGGAGGCAGCAGUGGGGAAUCUUCCGCAAUGGACGAAAGUCUGACGGAGCAACGCCGCGUGAGUGAUGACGGCCUUCGGGUUGUAAAGCUCUGUUAAUCGGGACGAAAGGCCUUCUUGCGAAUAGUGAGAAGGAUUGACGGUACCGGAAUAGAAAGCCACGGCUAACUACGUG
Molecule: ribosomal RNA, 510 nt
Filed under: uncultured bacterium
Lineage: Bacteria
Description: partial 16S ribosomal RNA
Rfam family: Bacterial small subunit ribosomal RNA
Source: RNAcentral